Molecule: ribosomal RNA, 393 nt
Filed under: uncultured bacterium
Lineage: Bacteria
Description: partial 16S ribosomal RNA
Rfam family: Bacterial small subunit ribosomal RNA
Source: RNAcentral
AUAUGAGGGGUGCAAGCGUUGUUCGGAAUUACUGGGCGUAAAGGGAGCGUAGGCGGAGAUUCAAGCGGAUUGUACAAUCCCGGGGCCCAACCCCGGCUCUGCAGUCCGAACUGGAUCUCUUGGAUAGUUCAGGGGCAGGCGGAAUUCCUGGUGACGCGGUGGGAUGCGUAGAGAUCAGGAAGAACACCGAUGGCGAAGGCAGCCUGCUGGGGACUUAUCGACGCUGAGGCUCGAAAGUGCGGGUAGCAAACAGGAUUAGAUACCCUGGUAGUCCGCACCGUAAACGAUGCAUACUGGGUGUCCGGGGGUUCCCCCGGGUACCGUAGCCAACGCGUUAAGUAUGCCGCCUGGGGAGUACGUACGCAAGUAUGAAACUCAAAGGAAUUGGCGGGG